This 64-nucleotide transfer RNA is filed under the name Falconius longicornis. Its description in RNAcentral is "tRNA-Gly". Lineage: Eukaryota; Metazoa; Arthropoda; Insecta; Orthoptera; Tetrigidae. The record is from RNAcentral.
AUUUCUAUAGUAUAAAAUGUACAAUUGACUUCCAAUCAAUAAGUUUGAUUUAUCAAUAGAAAUA